This 2918-nucleotide ribosomal RNA is filed under the name human gut metagenome. RNAcentral's name for it is "bacterial LSU rRNA". It matches the Rfam family "Bacterial large subunit ribosomal RNA". The record is from RNAcentral.
UUAAAUUAAUAAGGGCGUAUGGUGGAUGCCUAGGCAUUAGAAGACGAAGAAGGACGCGACAAACAGCGAAAUUGCCUCGGGGAGUUGUAAGUAAACAUUGAUCCGGGGGUAUCCGAAUGAGGAAACUUACCAAGAAAGGUAUCCUAAAAUGAAUACAUAGUUUUAGUGAAGGAAACCCUGUGAACUGAAACAUCUUAGUAACAGGAGGAAAAGAAAGAAAAAUCGAUUGCCUUAGUAGUGGCGAGCGAAACGGCAAUAGCCCAAACCAAUCUACGGAUUGGGGUAGUAGGACACUUCGAAACGAGAAUAAGAGCUAAAGAUAGCUAAAUGAUUUGGGAAAGUCAGUCAAAGAAGGUGAAAACCCUGUAGGCGAAAUCUGAAGCACUCAGAAGUGAAUCCUGAGUACGGCGGGACACGAGAAAUCCUGUCGGAAGCAACGGGGACCAUCCCGUAAGGCUAAAUACUCUCUAAUGACCGAUAGUGAACAAGUACCGUGAGGGAAAGGUGAAAAGAACCCCGGGAGGGGAGUGAAAUAGAGAAUCUGAAACCAUAUGCUUACAAAAAGUUCGAGCCCGUUAAAGGGUGAGAGCGUGCCUUUUGCAGAAUGAGCCGGCGAGUUAUGGUAUUGUGCAAGGUUAAGUAGAAAAUACGGAGCCGAAGCGAAAGCGAGUCUUAAAAGGGCGAAAAAGUACAAUGCUGUAGACCCGAAACUGAGUGAUCUAGCCAUGAGCAGGUUGAAGUGUAGGUAACACUACAUGGAGGACCGAACCAGGGUACUAUGUAACGUGCUUGGAUGACUUGUGGUUAGCGGUGAAAUUCCAAUCGAACUCAGAGAUAGCUGGUUCUCCCCGAAAUAGGUUUAGGCCUAGCCUUGAAGAAUUUCCUCUGGAGGUAGAGCACUGAAUGUGGAAUGGCCGCGUCUAGCGGUACUGACUGCAAUCAACCUCCGAAUGCCAGAGUAGUUAGCUUCAGGAGUCAGUUUAUGGGUGAUAACGUCCAUAUGCGAGAGAAAAACAAUUCAGACCACCAGUUAAGGUCCCAAAAUAUAUGUUAAGUGGGAAAGGAUGUGGAGUUGCACGAACAGCUAGGAGGUUGGCUCAGAAGCAGCCAUCCUUUAAAGAGUGCGUAAUAGCUCACUAGUCGAGUGGCUCUGCGCCGAAAAUGUACCGGGGCUAAACAUAUUACCGAAACUGUGGAUUUAUGCGAUAGCAUAAGUGGUAGGGGAGCGUUCUAAGGGCGACGAAGAUAGAUCGAGAGGACUAUUGGAGCGCUUAGAAGUGAGAAUGCCGGUGUGAGUAACGUAAGGUAGGUGAGAAUCCUACCCACUGAUUGACCAAGGAUUCCAGGGUCAAGUUCGUCUACCCUGGGUAAGUCAGGACCUAAGGCGAGGCUGAGAAGCGUAGUCGAUGGACAACAGGUUUAUAUUCCUGUACUAUUUAUAGGACUGAAGGAGUGACAAAGGAAGCUAGUAAGAGCCAUUUAAUGGAUUAUGGUCUAAGCACAAAGACUGAUACAUAGGAAAAUCCGUGAUAUCGAACGGUUGAAGUGUGAUGGCGAAGCAGUCUACGGACAGCGAAGUCUUAUGAGGCUAAACUUUUUAAAAAAGCUUCUAAAGAAAUGCUAUAAAUACCUGUACUAAGAACCAACGCAGGUGGUCAAGGAGAGAAUCCUAAGGUGAGCGAGAGAACUAUGGUUAAGGAACUCGGCACAAUGAUCCCGUAACUUCGGAAUAAGGGAAGGUCUUGAAAAAGACCCGCAGUGAAUAGGCCCAAGCGACUGUUUACCAAAAACACAGGUUUCUGCAAAAGCGUAAGCUGAAGUAUAGGAGCUGACGCCUGCCCAGUGCUGGAAGGUUAAGAUGAUUUGUAAGAUGGACGAAAGUCGAUAACAUCGAAGCAAUGAAUUGAAGCCCCAGUGAACGGCGGCGAUAACUAUAAUCGUCCAAAGGUAGCGAAAUUCCUUGUCAGGUAAGUUCUGACCCGCACGAAAGGCGUAACGAUUUGGGCACUGUCUCAACCAUAGACUCGGUGAAAUCUUAAUACCUGUGAAAAUGCAGGUUACCAGCGACAGGACGGGAAGACCCCAUGGAGCUUUACUGUAGCUUGAUAUUGAAAUCAGGUAGUUAAUGUAGAGGAUAGGUGGUAGACAAUGAAGUUAAGACGCUAGUCUUAAUGGAGUCGACCUUGGAAUACCACCCUUUGACUAUUUGAUUUCUAACUUGCACCCGUAAUCCGGGUGGAGGACAGUGUCUGGUGGGCAGUUUGACUGGGGCGGUCGCCUCCUAAAGAGUAACGGAGGCGCUCAAAGGUUCCCUCAGAAUGGUUGGAAAUCAUUCGACGAGUGUAAAGGUAUAAGGGAGCUUGACUGUGAGACUGACAAGUCGAACAGGUGCGAAAGCAGGACUUAGUGAUCAGGUGGUAUGAGAAUGGAAUUGCCAUCGCUUAACGGAUAAAAGUUACCUCGGGGAUAACAGGCUUAUCUCCCCCAAGAGUUCACAUCGACGGGGAGGUUUGGCACCUCGAUGUCGGCUCGUCACAUCCUGGGGCUGAAGCAGGUCCCAAGGGUUCGGCUGUUCGCCGAUUAAAGUGGCACGCGAGCUGGGUUCAAAACGUCGUGAGACAGUUUGGUCCCUAUCCAUCGUGGGCGUAGGAUAUUUGAGAGGGUUUGUCCUUAGUACGAGAGGACCGGGAUGAACGCACCUACCGUGCAUCUGUUGUCGCGCCAGCGGCAUGGCAGAGUAGCGGAGUGCGGUUGAGAUAAACGCUGAAAGCAUCUAAGCGUGAAACUCGCCUCAAGAUAAGAUAUCCCAUAUCGUAAGGUAGUAAGACCCCUUGCAGACGACAAGGUUGAUAGGUCGGAGAUGAAAGCGCAGUAAUGCGUGCAGUUGACCGAUACUAAUAGGUCGAGGGCUUGAUCUC